Molecule: long non-coding RNA, 1045 nt
Organism: Cyprinodon tularosa
Lineage: Eukaryota; Metazoa; Chordata; Actinopteri; Cyprinodontiformes; Cyprinodontidae
Exons: 4
Source: RefSeq, a predicted model, not a curated record
UCACACAUAUGCUUUUUGAGACUUGUUUAUGACACGUUUUUAUGACUUGGCUUCCCAGCACUUCCUCUGCAUUUACACCUAUAGCAGACAAUAAAGUUUCUGUCUGGCUUUUAUAUUCUGAUGGUCACCAUGUUCAGUCUGAGGCAAGCAGCUCUAGUUCUUAUUCAUCUGAUGAAAAUACAGAGUCUCUUUGAAGUAUCAGCCACUCAGACGGCACAUUCUAAUACGGUUGUGUCCAGCGGCGACCCGGUCACAUUUACUUGCAAUAUCUCUGGGAAUACCCCCAAGGAAAUCACCUGGACCGAUGGCAGAUAUCAUUUUGUGAAUAUUAGUCAAAAUCAGACAUUCUCAAAUUUCUCAACCGAAAGAGUUAAAAUAGACUCUGAGAUGCCUUUUAAGUUCAUUAUCUUCAGAGCUCAACAUAAUGAUGCAGGAUUUUACACAUGUAGUAUAACUGAUACAGAGGGCGUCCAUGAAAACACAUGGAAUUUAACUGUUUUGGAAAGAAACACACGGAAUUUAACUGUUUUGGAAAGACAAGGUUUGUUGAGACAAUAACAAUAUAGUAUUUAAUUGCAAUGACAUUACAGUUCACCAUCACCCUGCAUGAUACUGAAUACCUCUUUUUUUCAGGUAUAAAUUUCUCAAGGCAUGUGUUUUUUAUUUUAUCACCUUCCAUUGGAUUGAUUUUAUGUUGCUUCAUGCUGGUUGUCUGCCUCUGCAGGAAUUGUAGGAGGAGAAGAAAAUCCCAACAUUUAGGCGUUAACCAGUAUAUCCCGACUGAUCCAUCGGAUAGUUCAGAUUGCUGGAGGAGCAAGCAGCAGAGAAAGGGGUACAUUGAGAGAAUGAACUCAAUUUAUGGCUAUUUCUGAGCUGAGACCCCCUUCAGACAUAUCAAGGUGGAUAUAUGUGUUUGAUGAACAUUACCUGCAGUUUUCUUUAAAUAAGAGGAGACUCUAGAACAGCGGUCCCCAACCUUUUUUGCACCACAGACCGCUAUAUGUCAGACAAUAUUUUCACGGACCGGCCGGGGGUAAAUACGAUC